Long non-coding RNA from Zingiber officinale, 298 nucleotides. RefSeq lists it as uncharacterized. The transcript is spliced from 3 exons. The record is from RefSeq and is a predicted model, not a curated record. NCBI's taxonomy places the organism in Eukaryota, Viridiplantae, Streptophyta, Magnoliopsida, Zingiberales, Zingiberaceae.
UCUUGCUGAAAUUUAUAUGACUAUCUUCUUUUCAAGGUUGCUGGAACCUUUGGAAAAACAAUUCUUGUGUUUGGGAGUGAUGACGAAGGUCCAAGCACAGAGGCACAUGGAUGACCCUGCAAUUAUUGAGGUCCUUGGGCAAAGAAGUAGUGAUAUUAACUUGACUUUGCAUCAGUUAUGUGGUAUUUCUUUCUAUUGUGUUUUGUUUUCUUGUUGUCACAUUACUAUUUUGCACAAUGAAUUUAAUGUUGUUGUUGAACAUAAACGUAUCUCAUAUCUUUUAUGUUUGGCGGCACUG